ACUCAAAUGAAUUGACGGGGGCCCGCACAAGCAGUGGAGCAUGUGGUUUAAUUCGACGCAACGCGCAGAACCUUACCCGGGCUAGAAAAGCAUGGUAGUCGGUGGAAACACUGAUUUGCUCGCAAGAGAACCAUGAUCCAGGUGCUGCAUGGCUGUCGUCAGCUCGUGUCGUGAGAUGUUGGGUUAAGUCCCGCAACGAGCGCAACCCUUGUCCUCAGUUGCCAUCAUUUAGUUGGGCACUCUGAGGAGACUGCCGGCGUCAAGCCGGAGGAAGGUGGGGAUGACGUCAAGUCCUCAUGGCCCUUAUGUCCGGGGCUACACACGUGCUACAAUGGUCGAUACAGAACGUCGCGUACCCGCGAGGGGAAGCCAAUCGGCAAAAGUCGACCUCAGUACGGAUUGCAGGCUGCAACUCGCCUGCAUGAAGCCGGAAUUGCUAGUAAUCGCUGAUCAGCAGGCAGCGGUGAAUACGUUCCCGGGCCUUGUACACACCGCCCGU
This 499-nucleotide ribosomal RNA is filed under the name uncultured bacterium. RNAcentral describes it as "partial 16S ribosomal RNA". It matches the Rfam family "Bacterial small subunit ribosomal RNA", at positions 899 to 1397 of the family's 1533-position model. The record is from RNAcentral.